GUUAAUUCGAUGCAAAGCGAAGAACCUUACCAGGGCUUGACAUGCCGCGAAUCCUCUUGAAAGAGAGGGGUGCCUUCGGGAACGCGGACACAGAUGGUGCAUGGCUGUCGUCAGCUCGUGCCGUAAGGUGUUGGGUUAAGUCCCGCAAUUGCAUGUAUUAUGACCCUAUUGGGAUUUUCAUUUACUAGAUCC
Gossypium raimondii (Peruvian cotton) is the source of this 192-nucleotide non-coding RNA. Lineage: Eukaryota; Viridiplantae; Streptophyta; Magnoliopsida; Malvales; Malvaceae. The record is from Rfam.